CACGGAGGGGGCAAGCGUUAUUCGGAAUUAUUGGGCGUAAAGGGCGCGUAGGCGGCUAGAUGUGUCAAAGGUGAAAUCCCUCGGCUCAACUGAGGAACUGCCUUUGAAACUGUCUGGCUUGAGGCCGGGAGAGGGUAGCGGAAUUCCCAGUGUAGCGGUGAAAUGCGUAGAUAUUGGGAGGAACACCAGUGGCGAAGGCGGCUACCUGGACCGGUUCUGACGCUGAGAUGCGAAAGCGUGGGGAGCAAACAGG
This 253-nucleotide ribosomal RNA is filed under the name uncultured bacterium. Its description in RNAcentral is "partial 16S ribosomal RNA". It matches the Rfam family "Bacterial small subunit ribosomal RNA", at positions 524 to 776 of the family's 1533-position model. The record is from RNAcentral.